RNAcentral lists this transfer RNA (60 nucleotides) under Bradypus pygmaeus (Pygmy three-toed sloth). Its description in RNAcentral is "tRNA-Ser". The record is from RNAcentral. Lineage: Eukaryota; Metazoa; Chordata; Mammalia; Pilosa; Bradypodidae.
AAGAUAGACAUCCAAGAACCGCUAACUCUUGCCACCGUAUAUAAAAAUACGGCUCUCUUG